UGCCCGGUAGCUAAAUGCGGAAGAGAUAAGUGCUGAAAGCAUCUAAGCACGAAACUUGCCCCGAGAUGAGUUCUCCCUGAGACUUAAAGUCUCCUGAAGGAACGUUGAAGACGACGACGUUGAUAGGCCGGGUGUGUAAGCGCAGCGAUGCGUUGAGCUAACCGGUACUAAUGAACCGUGAGGCUUAACCUUACAACGCCGAAG
Molecule: ribosomal RNA, 204 nt
Filed under: Salmonella enterica
Lineage: Bacteria; Pseudomonadati; Pseudomonadota; Gammaproteobacteria; Enterobacterales; Enterobacteriaceae
Description: partial 23S ribosomal RNA
Rfam family: Bacterial large subunit ribosomal RNA
Source: RNAcentral